Molecule: long non-coding RNA, 629 nt
Filed under: Equus caballus (horse)
Lineage: Eukaryota; Metazoa; Chordata; Mammalia; Perissodactyla; Equidae
Description: lncRNA (ENSECAG00000050614.1)
Source: RNAcentral
CUCAGGGAAGGGAGUGGGAGCUGAAGACUAAGAUUCUCUAAGAAUUCUUGAAGAAGACUUAAUGAGUUUCCGAGCUGAUGAAUGCAUCCACAUGCCAGGAGAGUGUCACAACCCAGUUCCAUGGAGAAUGAAGCUCCUGUACUUGAGACCCUUCCAGACUUUGCGCUACGUACUUCUUCAUCUGGCUGUUCAUCUAUCUGUAUCCUUUAUAAUAAACUGAUAAAUGCCUCGUUGGGUCUGCUGGCCCUCUUGCCCACCUCCCUGCACCACAGUGGGGGCACAUGCCUCUGUGAAACUGUCCUCAGGCCCAUCCACCAAGAUGCCUCACUCAGCCAUGAACACAUCACUUCCCAGGUGCCAUCUUGGAGAGGUAACCUGAUUCUUCUGCUUGAGUGGCUUCACGAAGCAGCGAACACUUUUCCUGUCCAUUGUUGAACCCCUCAUGCCUAACCCAGUGCCUAGAACACAGGCUCGUCAUAGAUGUGUGGAAUGAAUGGAUGACAGAAAACAACGAAGAGCCAGUUGUCGGUGGAGGAUCCCAAAGGAGCAGUUCCGCCUUCAUGUUGAAGACUUUCUUUGCCCUGCAUGUUGUAACCACAUAAAGCUAGCUGGGAGCCACGUGGCUGCCC